This 253-nucleotide ribosomal RNA is filed under the name uncultured bacterium. Its description in RNAcentral is "partial 16S ribosomal RNA". It matches the Rfam family "Bacterial small subunit ribosomal RNA", at positions 524 to 776 of the family's 1533-position model. The record is from RNAcentral.
UACGUAGGGUGCGAGCGUUGUCCGGAAUUAUUGGGCGUAAAGGGCUCGUAGGCGGUUUGUCGCGUCGGGAGUGAAAACGCCGUGCUUAACACGGCGCUUGCUUUCGAUACGGGCAGACUAGAGGUAUGCAGGGGAGAACGGAAUUCCUGGUGUAGCGGUGAAAUGCGCAGAUAUCAGGAGGAACACCGGUGGCGAAGGCGGAUCUCUGGGCCUUACCUGACGCUGAGGCGCGAAAGCUAGGGGAGCGAACAGG